CUCCGGUUGAUCCCAGCGGGACCCGACUGCUAUCAGAGUGGGACUAAGCCAUGCGAGUCGACGUAGCAAUGCGUGGCGAACGGCUCAGUAACACGUAGUCAACAUGCCCAGGGGACGUGGAUAACCUCGGGAAACUGAGAAUAAACCACGAUAGGUCACGAUUUCUGGAAUGGAUCAUGGCCUAAAUCUACAUGGCCCCUGGAUUGGACUGCGGCCGAUCAGGCUGUUGGUGAGGUAAUGGCCCACCAAACCUGUAACCGGUACGGGCCUUGAGAGAGGGGGCCCGGAGAUGGACACUGAGAUAAGGGUCCAGGUCCUACGGGGCGCAGCAGGCGCGAAACCUUCGCAAUGCGCGAAAGCGUGACGAGGUUAAUCCGAGUGGUCCCCGCUGAGGGGAUCUUUUGCCGGCUGUAAAAAGGCCGGUGAAUAAGGGGAGGGCAAGUCUGGUGUCAGCCGCCGCGGUAAUACCAGCUCCUCGAGUGGUCGGGGCGAUUAUUGGGCCUAAAGCAUCCGUAGCCUGUUCUGUAGGUCCUCUGUUAAAUCCAACGGCUUAACCGUUGGCCCGCAGAGGAUACCGCAGGACUAGGAGGCGGGAGAGGUGGACGGUACUCCACGUGUAGGGGUAAAAUCCUUUGAUCCGUGGAAGACCACCAGUGGCGAAGGCGGUCCACCAGAACGCGCUCGACGGUGAGGGAUGAAAGCUGGGGGAGCGAACCGGAUUAGAUACCCGGGUAGUCCCAGCCGUAAACGAUGCGAGCUAGAUGAUCCGGUCGCAAAUCGCGAUCGGAGUGUCGCAGGGAAGCCGUUAAGCUCGCCGCCUGGGGCGUACGGUCGCAAGACUGAAACUUAAAGGAAUUGGCGGGGGGAGCA
Molecule: ribosomal RNA, 870 nt
Filed under: uncultured archaeon
Lineage: Archaea
Description: bacterial SSU rRNA
Rfam family: Archaeal small subunit ribosomal RNA
Source: RNAcentral